RNAcentral lists this ribosomal RNA (695 nucleotides) under bacterium 08-L049393-122-001-H01. Its description in RNAcentral is "bacterial SSU rRNA". It matches the Rfam family "Bacterial small subunit ribosomal RNA", at positions 56 to 759 of the family's 1533-position model. The record is from RNAcentral.
UGCAGUCGAACGCUGAAGCUUGGUGCUUGCACUGGGUGGAUGAGUGGCGAACGGGUGAGUAAUACGUGAGUAACCUGCCCUUGACUCUGGGAUAAGCCUGGGAAACUGGGUCUAAUACUGGAUACGACAUGUCACCGCAUGGUGGUGUGUGGAAAGGGUUUUACUGGUUUUGGAUGGGCUCACGGCCUAUCAGCUUGUUGGUGGGGUAAUGGCUCACCAAGGCGACGACGGGUAGCCGGCCUGAGAGGGUGACCGGCCACACUGGGACUGAGACACGGCCCAGACUCCUACGGGAGGCAGCAGUGGGGAAUAUUGCACAAUGGGCGAAAGCCUGAUGCAGCGACGCCGCGUGAGGGAUGACGGCCUUCGGGUUGUAAACCUCUUUCAGCACGGAAGAAGCGAAAGUGACGGUACGUGCAGAAGAAGCGCCGGCUAACUACGUGCCAGCAGCCGCGGUAAUACGUAGGGCGCAAGCGUUGUCCGGAAUUAUUGGGCGUAAAGAGCUCGUAGGCGGUUUGUCGCGUCUGCUGUGAAAGCCCGGGGCUUAACCCCGGGUGUGCAGUGGGUACGGGCAGACUUGAGUGCAGUAGGGGAGACUGGAAUUCCUGGUGUAGCGGUGAAAUGCGCAGAUAUCAGGAAGAACACCGAUGGCGAAGGCAGGUCUCUGGGCUGUUACUGACGCUGAGGAGCGAAAG